Ictidomys tridecemlineatus (thirteen-lined ground squirrel) is the source of this 107-nucleotide small nuclear RNA. The record is from Ensembl. Lineage: Eukaryota; Metazoa; Chordata; Mammalia; Rodentia; Sciuridae.
GUGAUCACUUCAGCAGCACAUAUACUAAAAUUGGAACUAUAGAGAGAAGAUUAGCAUGGCCCUUGCGCAAGGAUGACAUACAAAUUCAUGAAGCAUUCCAUAUUCAG